Molecule: long non-coding RNA, 202 nt
Filed under: Homo sapiens (human)
Lineage: Eukaryota; Metazoa; Chordata; Mammalia; Primates; Hominidae
Description: HSALNT0086181
Source: RNAcentral
GAGAAUGAAGGCCACUCCGAAGAUGACAAGAUCCCAGAAUUCUAGAGCCCAAAGGAGACAUCGUAGGAAUCACGUUGCCCAACAGUCAAGAUGCCACGUCUCAGGACAGUGGGCUCUGAAGAUGGAGACUGACUUCAAGGACUAAUGUCAUUCCUGUUCCCUGUCAUUGAAGGGUGCACAUGUAUCUCUGCUUUAUGCCCUG